GACGAACGCUGGCGGCGUGCUUAACACAUGCAAGUCGAACGGAAAGGCCUGCUUUCCCUUGUGGAUUGCGGGUACUCGAGUGGCGAACGGGUGAGUAACACGUGAGUGAUCUGCCCCCAACUUGGGUAUAAGCCUGGGAAACUGGGUCUAAUUCCCGAUAGGACUGCAGGGUGGUGCCUGUGGUGGAAAACGAUUUUCUAGUGGUUGGGGAUGAGCUCGCGGCCUAUCAGCUUGUUGGUGGGGUAAUGGCCUACCAAGGCGGCGACGGGUAGCCGGCCUGAGGGGGUGGACGGCCCCAUUGGGUCUGAGAUACGGCCCAGACUCCUACGGGAGGCAGCAGUGGGGAAUAUUGCACAAUGGGCGGAAGCCUGAUGCAGCGACGCCGCGUGGGGGAUGACGGCCUUCGGGUUGUAAACUCCUUUCGACCGCGAGGAAGCCACCUGGUUGGAAGGGUGGUGACGGUAGUGGUAGAAGAAGCACCGGCUAACUACGUG
RNAcentral lists this ribosomal RNA (494 nucleotides) under uncultured bacterium. RNAcentral's name for it is "partial 16S ribosomal RNA". It matches the Rfam family "Bacterial small subunit ribosomal RNA", at positions 28 to 507 of the family's 1533-position model. The record is from RNAcentral.